GCUUACGGCCAUACCACCCUGAACACGCCCGAUCUCGUCUGAUCUCGGAAGCUAAGCAGGGUCGGGCCUGGUCAGUACUUGGAUGGAGACGCCUGGGAAUACCAGGUGCUGUAAGCU
This 117-nucleotide ribosomal RNA is filed under the name Oreochromis niloticus (Nile tilapia). Lineage: Eukaryota; Metazoa; Chordata; Actinopteri; Cichliformes; Cichlidae. The record is from RNAcentral.